CCACCUUUGACAUGUAUGGAAGAUCGCAGAGACGCGAUUGUGCUCGAAAGAGAGCCAUAACACAGGUGCUGCAUGGCUGUCGUCAGCUCGUGUCGUGAGAUGUUGGGUUAAGUCCCGCAACGAGCGCAACCCUUGUCAUUAGUUGCUACAUUUAGUUGGGCACUCUAAUGAGACUGCCGGUGACAAACCGGAGGAAGGUGGGGAUGACGUCAAGUCCUCAUGGCCCUUAUAGGUGGGGCUACACACGUCAUACAAUGGCUGGUACAAAGGGUUGCCAACCCGCGAGGGGGAGCUAAUCCCACAAAGCCAGUCGUAGUCCGGAUCGUAGUCUGCAACUCGACUACGUGAAGUCGGAAUCGCUAGUAAUCGUGGAUCAGAAUGUCACGGUGAAUACGUUCC
This 399-nucleotide ribosomal RNA is filed under the name uncultured bacterium. RNAcentral describes it as "bacterial SSU rRNA". It matches the Rfam family "Bacterial small subunit ribosomal RNA", at positions 975 to 1374 of the family's 1533-position model. The record is from RNAcentral.